RNAcentral lists this ribosomal RNA (1347 nucleotides) under uncultured bacterium. Its description in RNAcentral is "partial 16S ribosomal RNA". It matches the Rfam family "Bacterial small subunit ribosomal RNA", at positions 42 to 1381 of the family's 1533-position model. The record is from RNAcentral.
ACAGGCUUAACACAUGCAAGUCGAGGGGCAGCGGGGUAGUGCUUGCACUACUGCCGGCGACCGGCGCACGGGUGAGUAACACGUAUGGAACCUGCCCGCAGCAGGGGGAUAAGCGGAAGAAAUUCCGUCUAAUACCGCGUAACAACGUUGGGAGGCAUCUCCCGAUGUUUAAAGAUUUAUCGGCUGCGGAUGGCCAUGCGGCGCAUUAGCUAGUCGGCGGGGUAACGGCCCACCGAGGCGACGAUGCGUAGGGGUUCUGAGAGGAAGGUCCCCCACACUGGUACUGAGACACGGACCAGACUCCUACGGGAGGCAGCAGUGAGGAAUAUUGGUCAAUGGCCGAGAGGCUGAACCAGCCAAGUCGCGUGAGGGAAGACGGCCCUACGGGUUGUAAACCUCUUUUGUCGGGGAGCAAAGCGAACCACGUGUGGUUCAUUGAGAGUACCCGAAGAAAAAGCAUCGGCUAACUCCGUGCCAGCAGCCGCGGUAAUACGGAGGAUGCGAGCGUUAUCCGGAUUUAUUGGGUUUAAAGGGUGCGCAGGCGGAGGUGCAAGUCAGCGGUCAAAUUGCGGGGCUCAACCCCGUACUGCCGUUGAAACUGCAUCCCUUGAGUGCGCGAGAAGUAUGCGGAAUGCGUGGUGUAGCGGUGAAAUGCAUAGAUAUCACGCAGAACUCCGAUUGCGAAGGCAGCAUACCGGCGCGCAACUGACGCUCAUGCACGAAAGCGUGGGUAUCGAACAGGAUUAGAUACCCUGGUAGUCCACGCAGUAAACGAUGAACACUAACUGUUCGGCCAGAAUGAUGGCUGAGUGGUACAGCGAAAGCGUUAAGUGUUCCACCUGGGGAGUACACCGGCAACGGUGAAACUCAAAGGAAUUGACGGGGGCCCGCACAAGCGGAGGAACAUGUGGUUUAAUUCGAUGAUACGCGAGGAACCUUACCCGGGCUCAAACGACACAGGAAUACUUUUGAAAGGAGGUAGCCCUACGGGGUCUGUGUCGAGGUGCUGCAUGGUUGUCGUCAGCUCGUGCCGUGAGGUGUCGGCUUAAGUGCCAUAACGAGCGCAACCCCUAUCGCCAGUUACCAUCAAGUAAAGUUGGGGACUCUGGCGAGACUGCCGGCGCAAGCUGAGAGGAAGGCGGGGAUGACGUCAAAUCAGCACGGCCCUUACGUCCGGGGCGACACACGUGUUACAAUGGCAGGUACAGAGAGAAGCCAGGUGGCGACACCGCGCGGAACUCGAAAGCCUGUCUCAGUUCGGAUCGGAGUCUGCAACCCGACUCCGUGAAGCUGGAUUCGCUAGUAAUCGCGCAUCAGCCAUGGCGCGGUGAAUACGUUCCCGGGCCU